UCAUAGUGAAGGAGAAGGGCAUCUUCACCAACGUGACGUCCCCGUCCGCCAAGGCCAAGCUGCGGCUCCUCUUCGAGGUGGCGCCGCUCGGCUUCUUGAUGGAGAAGGCCGGCGGGCACAGCAGCGACGGCAAGCAGUCGGUGCUGGACAAGGUGAUCAACGAGCUCGACGAGCGCACCCAGGUGGCCUACGGCUCCAAGAACGAGAUCAUCCGGUUCGAGGAGACCCUCUACGGCUCGUCCAGGCUCACCGCCGGCGCCACCGUCGGCGCCGCCGCAUAAGUUUUGCUGCGAUAUAGUAUGACAUAAUUAAAUGUGCAAGCCGUGUCACCAUUGAGAAUCCAGUUGGUGACCGACGCGGCGACACGUAUACAGAUGGCUUGCAGA
This 386-nucleotide long non-coding RNA is filed under the name Setaria viridis. Its description in RNAcentral is "long non-coding RNA (SVIR_LNC006143)". Lineage: Eukaryota; Viridiplantae; Streptophyta; Magnoliopsida; Poales; Poaceae. The record is from RNAcentral.